This 413-nucleotide transfer-messenger RNA is filed under the name Candidatus Peribacteria bacterium RIFCSPHIGHO2_01_FULL_51_35. It matches the Rfam family "transfer-messenger RNA". Rfam says of the family: Bacterial tmRNA, also known as 10Sa RNA or SsrA, is named for its dual tRNA and mRNA-like properties. The record is from RNAcentral. RNAcentral also lists the same sequence under 2 other names. Lineage: Bacteria; Candidatus Peregrinibacteriota; Candidatus Peribacteria.
GGGGAUGACAGGUUUCGACAGCGUGAUACUAAUUGUUGAUCGUCUCUGUUCGGGAUGGCAACGAUUUCCGUUAUCCAACGUUGCAAAAAUUAAUUGCAGACAAUCUUGUCAGCAAAGCCAAUCGUAUCGCUGAGGAUGUCAUGGCUCGUUUGAGCCUUGCUCCGCAGUUCGCGAUGGCUGCUUAGUUUCCCUUCAACCGGAAACACGUCUCACCCUCGAUUCUCGCUAGUGGGAUGAGACGUCAUCAGCGAGACGGAUGCAGUAUCUGAUGUCGUACUACACUGAUUCUUAGGCAUUAUCCCUCGCACAUUUUCUUUGUUCCUUCCUUAUUUGUGCGAGUAUGAAAGGAGCACAACAGUACAGACACGGCGGUUACACGUUGGACCCGGAUUCAAUUUCCGGCAUCUCCACCA